CCGUGCUAGGCGGGGAAUUAGCGGUGCCCUGCACUCGCAAUCCGCUCUAGCGAGGCCGAAUUCCCGUUCGAGGGUCCGGCAUCUGGAGCCGGUUCGCCGAGGGCGGCGCUGACGGCCAGGUCCUGCGCAGUGGCGGCCUGUGAACCAGGUCAGGUCCGGAAGGAAGCAGCCUUAAGCGGUAGCCGCCAUGUGAUGCAGGCAAGCCUGGCUCGAGCCAACCGAGGAUGACCCGUCCAGGAGCUUCGUCUCGACGGCGGGUGCACGG
This 265-nucleotide signal recognition particle RNA is filed under the name Actinomycetota bacterium. RNAcentral's name for it is "Actinobacteria bacterium (freshwater metagenome) signal recognition particle sRNA large type". It matches the Rfam family "Bacterial large signal recognition particle RNA". Rfam says of the family: The signal recognition particle (SRP) is a universally conserved ribonucleoprotein involved in the co-translational targeting of proteins to membranes. Archaeal SRP consists of a 7S RNA and homologues of the eukaryotic SRP19 and SRP54 proteins. In most bacteria, the SRP consists of a 4.5S RNA and the Ffh protein (a homologue of the eukaryotic SRP54 protein). The record is from RNAcentral. Lineage: Bacteria; Bacillati; Actinomycetota.